UGCGAACUCCUACGGGAGGCAGCAGUAGGGAAUCUUCCACGAUGGGCGCAAGCCUGAUGGAGCAACACCGCGUGAGUGGAGAAGGGUUUCGGCUCGUAAAACUCUGUUGUUGAAGAAGAACGUGCGUGAGAGUAACUGUUCAUGCAGUGACGGUAUUCAACCAGAAAGUCACGGCUAACUACGUGCCAGCAGCCGCGGUAAUACGUAGGUGGCAAGCGUUAUCCGGAUUUAUUGGGCGUAAAGCGAGCGCAGGCGGUUGCUUAGGUCUGAUGUGAAAGCCUUCGGCUUAACCGAAGAAGUGCAUCGGAAACCGGGCGACUUGAGUGCAGAAGAGGACAGUGGAACUCCAUGUGUAGCGGUGGAAUGCGUAGAUAUAUGUAAGAACACCAGUGGCGAAGGCGGCUGUCUGGUCUGCAACUGACGCUGAGGCUCGAAAGCAUGGGUAGCGAACAGGAUUAGAAACCCUUGUAGUCCAGAUG
This 479-nucleotide ribosomal RNA is filed under the name uncultured bacterium. RNAcentral's name for it is "bacterial SSU rRNA". It matches the Rfam family "Bacterial small subunit ribosomal RNA", at positions 330 to 801 of the family's 1533-position model. The record is from RNAcentral.